GGUUGGUGGAGUGAUUUGUCUGCUUAAUUGCGUUAACGAACGAGAUCUCUGCUGAUAAAUAGAUGCUACCUCCGCUUGUAAGCAAGCUUUUGCCCGGGCACUUGUGCUUUGUGCUUAAAUUUGCUGAGGAGGGAGAAGUUUACUUAUUGGGAUUAUGCAUUCUUCAAAUGCAUUGAGACAAGAGCCAAUAGCAGGUCU
RNAcentral lists this ribosomal RNA (198 nucleotides) under uncultured eukaryote. Its description in RNAcentral is "partial small subunit ribosomal RNA". It matches the Rfam family "Eukaryotic small subunit ribosomal RNA", at positions 1296 to 1463 of the family's 1831-position model. The record is from RNAcentral.